UACAGAGGUCUCAAGCGUUGUUCGGAUUCAUUGGGCGUAAAGGGCGCGUAGGCGGCGGGGUAAGUCGGGUGUGAAAUCUCAGAGCUCAACUCUGAAACUGCACUCGAUACUGCUCUGCUUGAGGACUGGAGAGGAGACUGGAAUUCACGGUGUAGCAGUGAAAUGCGUAGAUAUCGUGAGGAACACCAGUGGCGAAGGCGGCUCACUGGACCGGUACUGACGCUGAUGCGCGAAAGCGUGGGGAGCAAACGGG
Molecule: ribosomal RNA, 253 nt
Filed under: uncultured bacterium
Lineage: Bacteria
Description: partial 16S ribosomal RNA
Rfam family: Bacterial small subunit ribosomal RNA
Source: RNAcentral